RNAcentral lists this ribosomal RNA (491 nucleotides) under uncultured bacterium. Its description in RNAcentral is "partial 16S ribosomal RNA". It matches the Rfam family "Bacterial small subunit ribosomal RNA", at positions 28 to 507 of the family's 1533-position model. The record is from RNAcentral.
GAUGAACGCUAGCUACAGGCUUAACACAUGCAAGUCGCGGGGCAGCAUGGUGGUUGCUUGCACCCCCUGAUGGCGACCGGCGCACGGGUGAGUAACGCGUAUCCAACCUGCCCUUCACCACGGGUUACCCCGGCGAACGUCCGACUAAUACCGAUUGUUCUCCAUUGUCGGCAUCCGAUUUCGACGAACCUCUUGGCGUUGAAUGGUUGGGUAUGCGUUCGAUUAGUUUGCCGGCGGGGUAACGGCCCACCGUGGCUACGAUCGGUAGGGGUUCUGAGAGGAAGGUCCCCCACACUGGAACUGAGACACGGUCCAGACUCCUACGGGAGGCAGCAGUAAGGAAUAUUAGUCAAUGGGCGUAAGCCUGAACCAGCCAAGUAGCGUGCAGGAUGACGGCCCUAGGGGUUGUAAACUGCUGUUAUGCGGGGAUAAAGUGGCCCACGUGUGGGCUUUUGCAGGUACCGAAUGAAUAAGGACCGGCUAAUUCCGUG